GAUUUUUGAAAUCGAAACAAUUUACGUGUUAAAUACAACAAAAACUUUAUCUGUAUAGAUUUUUCAAAAAUCCAGAUAAUUAUCCAGAUUUUACUUUCUCUCGAUAGAAAACAGUGCUGCCAAGGUACAUUACAGGUAUUAAAUGUCAGAUUCCAUUGCAUGACAGCUGCAGUUGACACAUAAUAUGACAAAAAAUAUAAUAUUUAAAAUUGAAUUCAAUUAGGAAUAGCAAACAACACAAAUCAAUGAUUCACGUUUUUUGCAAGAGUGCGAUAUCUUCCGCAAAAUUAAAGAAAAAAACCUGAAACCAGAUGGAAAGAAUUAUUUCACAAAAAAAGAAUCCUGUGUAUUGUGCGCUUGUGUCUUAAUCGUGUCGAUACCUUCAACCCUCACAGCCAAAUGUAGUGUAAAAUGCUCUUGAAAUGCCCGCUCGUUUGCGAAAACGUUUAUUCUUUGACGAUAAACAUGGAUAAAUGAUAACAAAGCUCUUGUUGUUAAUCAUUUGCCUCAAUAGAAUGCCCACCACAAAAACAGUCUCAUAACUUUUUAAAAAUAUACACGUCAUGUAUGUGCGCUGCGAAGAAAAGCCGAAAAAUAUUCCCCCAGGAAAUACUUUUCAUCCCAAACAGCAGACAGCAAUAAGCAAGACAAUCCUAACAUCGCAUUAUGCAGCUCAUUCAACACCCAUAUCUUUCAGCUCCCUUAAAUUGCCCUCACUUUAUGUAAAUGAUAUCAGGACCAAGACCCGUUGAUGAAAAGCCAUCUUAGAAGAAGAUCACUUCACUGCCUGUGCAAAUGAUGGUAUCGACGUUUAUAAACUUGGACCACAUGUGCAUGUAAAGUGUGGAAACAAUGGCAUCUUGAAAGUUGAUGUGGAAGAAAUAUUUGAAAGAACGUUAUAGUAAAUGUUUCAGAGCAUCAUUUAGGUCCCCAAUUUUGGUUGCGGAUGAACUCUGCCUGCAUUGAUGUCGUCCUGUUUCUGUAGGACAUGUCUUCUACAAAAGGCUCUAAAGACCCCAUCGGGAUCCCGAGAAAAUGAUAUCUGCAUGAAUCUUCUUCGCAAUUACUUUCCCCUCCUAAA
Long non-coding RNA from Episyrphus balteatus (marmalade hoverfly), 1081 nucleotides. RefSeq lists it as uncharacterized. Lineage: Eukaryota; Metazoa; Arthropoda; Insecta; Diptera; Syrphidae. The record is from RefSeq and is a predicted model, not a curated record. The transcript has 4 exons.